AGUAGUCAUACGCUUGUCUCAAAGAUUAAGCCAUGCAUGUGUAAGUAUAAAUAGUUAACUUUGAAACUGCGAAUGGCUCAUUAUAUCAGUUAUAGUUUAUUUGAUGAAGAAUACUAAUUGGAUAACCGUAGUAAUUCUAGAGCUAAUACAUGUAUAAAGUCUUGUAGACUGCAUUUAUUAGAAUGAAAACCAUAGGUUUCGGCCUAUUCGUGAGUAAUAAUAACUAAUCAUAUCGUAUGCUUAAGUAACGAUGUGUCUUUCAAGUUUCGGCCCUAUCAGCUUUCGAUGGUAGUGUAUUGGACUACCAUGGCAGUAACGGGUAACGAAGAA
RNAcentral lists this ribosomal RNA (330 nucleotides) under Blastocystis sp. subtype 3. RNAcentral's name for it is "SSU rRNA". It matches the Rfam family "Eukaryotic small subunit ribosomal RNA", at positions 19 to 369 of the family's 1831-position model. Lineage: Eukaryota; Bigyra; Opalinata; Blastocystidae. The record is from RNAcentral.